UCUGUGGUCACGCUAACGCCGACGAUUCUAGAAUCUCGACUUCUUUCAAUUUUCACAAUUCACCGUAUGUGCCCACUGCCCAUAUAUUUGGUUGAUUAAAGUUUAUUUAAUGCAUCAUGUGAAUUGCAAAUUACAUAUACUAAGUGAUACAAGAAUUAUAAAGUCAACGUUGAUGCGUAGAGUUUAUACGUGAUUUAUGAAUAGGACUGGGCUAUUUGUAAUUUGUAUAGCGAGACUGAUGAUGGCAUCAAAUGAAGAGGGUUUCUCCAUCAGGAUACAUUCUCUGAUGUAUGAGCAAGAUGAUUUUAGGUUCCAUGAAAAUAUGUCGUUUACUAUAUCAUCGGCAAGACCUUCGAAAUUGUAUUGGAUGCUUAGAUACUUGUGAUCAGUGGCAUAUGUCUCAAUUUCUUCGUCUGGACCUUGUUUGGUGAAUAGAUCCUUGUAGGUGAUCUUGUCUAUUUCUGUAUUGAACGAGUAAAAUAUCUGAAGAGCGUCUGAGCUAAUAGUUUCUAACAAAAUGGCUACCUUUUGUCUGAUUCUUCUUCCAAAUUGUUGGCAAUCAUGUAAAUAACAAGACUAGUGUUGAAGUUUCUCCAAGCCAAAGGCAUGUUCGAGGUGUUGAUAUCAA
Molecule: long non-coding RNA, 628 nt
Organism: Pieris napi
Lineage: Eukaryota; Metazoa; Arthropoda; Insecta; Lepidoptera; Pieridae
Exons: 2
Source: RefSeq, a predicted model, not a curated record